This 326-nucleotide long non-coding RNA is filed under the name Medicago truncatula (barrel medic). RNAcentral's name for it is "long non-coding RNA (MTRU_LNC001371)". The record is from RNAcentral. Lineage: Eukaryota; Viridiplantae; Streptophyta; Magnoliopsida; Fabales; Fabaceae.
GAUCUCUCUCUUUUAGCUAUUUUUAUUGAUGCUUCUAAUUAUAUAUGAUGAUUAUUAUUUGUAGAUAAUUCUCAUGACUAAUUAUACAACAAGAAACACUUGAGGUUUUAUUUUUUAUUUUUAUUUUUUUACAAUUUCUUUCUAUACAUUCAAACAUACUUAGAAAAAAUAUUCUUGGAUUGUGUAUUUUCUCUAGGCAUGGCUGACUUGGCUCCUCCUGGUGGUUUUCUGGUGUUGAUCCUCAUUUUCCAACCAUUCAUAUUCAAUAUCUCCUUGCCUGCGAAAUAGCUUUAUGUUAUACACAACACUUUGGUGUUGUUCGGGAG